UUGUAGCAGUUGUUUCACAUUUAAUUAUUUCUCAAGUCGCAGUCCAGCUGAAGGGUAGUGGUAAAGUAGUGAUCGCUGCCUUUGUCUUGAGUGAUUCAUGUCAUUUUAUACUCUCCUCUGCACUUGAGCUGAACCAGUGGGGACCUCUUUUAUGCUGUUUUCUUCUGGCCUGAUUUACUUUCUCCUCCAGUGACAAAUUUGCCGGACCUGGAAGCACAUAGAAAAUGGUACCUUGUGCAAAGAUGUCAAACACAUUGCUGUUUGUCUUGCUCUUCUUAUUUCCGAUGCUGCUGUCAGGAGCUUGGUUUCCCAAAAGUUUACCCUGUGAUGUUAAAGCCUCUGAAGGUACUGUGACAGUGGAUUGCACUGAUCGGCGUCUUCUGGAAGUCCCCAGAGGGAUCCCUGCAAAUGCUACUAACCUUACCCUCAGUAUUAACCAUAUCAACCAUAUCUAUCCAACAUCCUUUGCUGAGCUUGCAAAUCUUGUGGAGAUUGACUUCAGAUGCAACUGUGUGCCUGUGAGAAUGGGGCCCAAAGAUCACGUGUGCGUGAUGAGUCCGAAGAUUGAGAAUGGCAGUUUUGCUGCCCUGACAAGACUGAAGUCACUGUAUUUGGAUGCAAACCAGCUAUUUGAAAUACCCCAGGGUCUUCCUGCUACUUUAAGUCUGCUGAGCCUGGAAGCGAACAGUAUCUUUUCUAUCCAAAAAGCCAAUAUGUCGGAGCUAGGAAACAUAGAAGUAUUGUAUCUGGGACAGAACUGUUACUACCGUAACCCAUGCAAUGUUUCAUUUGAAAUCGAUGAAACAGCCUUUCUGGAGCUGAAAAAAUUAACAAUACUAUCCCUGAAGUCUAACAACUUAACUCGUAUUCCACCCAAUUUGUCAUCUACUUUAAAGGAAUUGUAUAUUUACAAUAACAUGAUUCAAGUGGUUCAAGAGCAUGAUUUAAGUGCCCUUUACAACCUAGAAAUUCUUGAUCUAAGUGGUAAUUGCCCACGUUGCUAUAAUGCCCCAUAUCCUUGCAUUCCCUGCCCCAAGAGCACAAUUGAGAUCCAUUCAAAGGCUUUUUAUUCCUUGAAAAAUUUAAGAAUUUUGCGACUUCACAGUAACUCUCUUCUCAGCGUACCCAGCAGCUGGUUUAAAAACAUCAGGAAUCUUAAAGAGCUUGACCUCUCCCAAAAUUUCCUCAUGAAGGAGAUUGGAGAUGCUCAGUUUUUGAAGUUUAUCCCCAGCCUUGUAGAGCUUGAUCUGUCCUUCAAUUUUGAACUGCAGAUGUAUUCUCCAUACUUAAAUUUGUCUAAGACAUUUUCAUCCCUUUCUAACCUGGAAACCCUGAGGAUCAGGGGUUAUGUCUUUAAAGAACUGAGAGAAAGUGAUCUACAUCCUUUGGUCAAUCUUAGAAAUCUAACAGUGUUGGAUCUUGGGACUAAUUUUAUUAAAGUUGCUGACUUGAGAGUGUUUGAAAAAUUUCGGGCUCUUAAAUUCAUAGACCUCUCAGUGAAUAAAAUUUCUCCUUCUUCAGGUGAGAGCAACUUUCAUGGAUUUUGCUCCAACCCUAGGAUUUCAGUAGAGCAAUACAACAGGCAAGUAUUACAAGAGAUGCAUUAUUUCAGGUAUGAUGAGUAUGGGCGAAGUUGCAGGUCCAAAGACAAAGAGGCUGCUUCCUACCAAUCUUCAGUUAAGGAAGAUUGCCUGAAAUACGGAGAAACUCUGGAUUUAAGCAGAAACAACAUAUUUUUUAUUAACCCCUCAGACUUCCAGGGGCUUAGUCGCCUCACAUGCCUCAACUUGUCAGAUAAUGCAAUAAGUCAAACUUUAAAUGGAAGUGAAUUCUCCUACUUGUCUGGAUUGAAAUAUCUGGAUUUUUCUAACAACAGGAUUGACUUGCUAUACUCAACUGCUUUCAAAGAGCUAAACCAGUUAGAAAUUCUAGACCUGAGCAAUAACAAACAUUAUUUUCUGGCAGAAGGAGUUACUCAUGUGCUUAGUUUUAUGAAAAACUUGACCUAUCUGAAGAAGCUGAUGAUGAAUGAGAAUGAGAUUUCUACCUCUACUAACACAGGAAUGGAAAGCCAGUCUCUUAAAAUUUUAGAAUUCAGAGGAAAUCACUUAGAUGUUUUAUGGAUGGAUGGGAAUGCUAGAUACUUGUCAUUCUUCAAGAAUCUGACCAUCCUGGAACAACUGGAUAUUUCCUUUAACUCGCUCAGUUUUUUGCCUCAUGAUGUUUUUGAAUCUAUGCCUCCAGAACUCAAGAUCCUCAACUUAACCAAUAACAAGAUGAAGAGUUUCAACUGGGGAAGACUCCACCACCUGAAGAACCUAGAAACUCUGGACCUUAGCAAUAACCUUCUGGCUACUGUUCCCCGAGAACUGUCCAACUGCUCUUCAACACUCCAAGACCUGAUGCUCCGAAACAAUCGCAUUCAAUCGCUAACCAAACAUUUUCUCAGGCGCGCUUUUAAAUUGAAAUACUUGGACCUCAGCUCAAACAAGAUCCAAAUAAUUAAGAAGUCUAGCUUCCCUGAAAAUGUAAUUAACAGCCUAAAGGUGCUGCUUUUGCAUGGCAAUCCUUUCAAGUGCAAUUGUGAUGCCGUGUGGUUUGUUUGGUGGAUCAAUCAGACUCAAGUGACUAUUCCUCUUCUGGCCACAGAUGUGACCUGUGCUGGCCCAGGGGCACAUAAAGGAAGGAGCGUGGUUUUCUUGGAUCUGUAUACUUGUGAGCUGGACAACUCGUAUUUGAUCCUGUAUGCUCUGUCAGCUUCAACUGUCCUAGGCUUUAUGGUGUUCACAGUGACAAGCCAUCUCUAUUUCUGGGAUGUGUGGUAUAGUUACCACUACUGCACAGCCAAGUUGAAGGGUUAUCGGCGUUUAUCUUUACCUGAUGCUUGCUAUGAUGCUUUUAUUGCCUAUGACAAGAAAGAUCCAGCUGUGAAUGAAUGGGUGAUGACAGAACUGGUUGAAAGGCUGGAAGAUCAAAAAGCCAGGCAGUUCAAUUUAUGCCUGGAAGAAAGGGACUGGCUCCCAGGACAGCCAGUCUUUGACAACCUUUCCCAGAGCAUUCAGCUGAGCAAAAAGACCAUAUUUGUGCUGACCAACAAGUAUAUUAAAAGCGGCAGCUUCAAGACAACUUUUUACAUGGCCCACCAGCGGCUUCUAGAUGAAAAAAUGGAUGUCAUUAUCUUGAUAUUUCUUGAGAAGGUUCUGCAGAAGUCCCGGUAUGUCCGGCUGAGGAAGAGGCUCUGCAGAAGUUCUGUCCUGGAAUGGCCAACUAACCCUCGAUCUCAGCCCUAUUUCUGGCAGUGCCUGAAAAAUGCAAUAUCUACGAGCAAUACCCUGGCUUACAACAAGCUUCUCCAAGAAACUGUUUAGCUCCACCCUUCCCUAGCACUGCUGCUGAGACACUCCUGUUGCCAUAAACCUUCCCUUCACACCCUGAGCAAUCACUGAAAAGCAAUUAUUUAGCCCAUUUUCAUCAAGCCGUAGCUCGUGUUCAAUCCUGUGUGAUGACAUCAGCAAUGCAGAAUAUUUUUUAAUAGUAUGAAAAUACUGUCCUGUACUCACAGAAAGCAGGAAAAAGAACAGUGUACCAUCCCACAAAGAACAGCGCUGUGCACUCUUCACCAUCCAUGGAGAUUUUGGAGUCGCCAACUGCUGCUUACAAACCACCCUGGGAGGUAUUUACACAGAACACCACUUCCUCCUGUAGCUAUGUCUGCAGCUGUCAGAUGGGAAGGAUGCUGCUGCUGGAAAUAAAAUGAAAAUGCUACCGCUUUGCUACUCUCCUAAAGUACAGUCAAAAUGCACUAAGUGAGUAAAAGCAAGGAGACCAGAACAUGACGCUGCUGAAAUUCUGACUCUUCGACAGCCUUAGAGAGGUCUCUAGCACAGAGAUGAUCUGUCCAGCUGAGGCGAUGAGCCUUGGUGCACAAGGUUUCUUUCAUUCAACAUCUGAGAUGCCGGAGAUGCAUUUGGGAGUGGGAAGAGAUUAUUUUGGAUCUCUCUUCUGCAUUUGGUGCUUAAAACACAGCUGCAGUUUAAGUGCCCAAGAACUAGUUCUUGGAUUUUGUUCAGUAUGCUGCUCCCUCUGAAAUGUAAACUUACACACCUCAGCACUUUUAAGGAUUUGGCCCAAAGUGUGUUCCUUUAAAUAGCCUCUAAGAUUCCUCUGCUUUAGGAGCAAGCCAGUAAAGUCAUGCACAUAUGCAACAGUCUUAUGUCUGUGAUUAUCUACCAAUAACCACAGUGACUUGCACUCUGUAAGCUUAUGCAGCCUUUUUAUGCUAUGGGCACCCAACACAGCAAAAAAAAAAACCACACUAAGGGGUAGGAGCAUGCAAUGAGUGACAAAAUUGUCUGCCUUUGCAAUGCCUUUAUGCUGAAUCUUCUGAGCAGUUUACCAGAAUAUUCACCUCUGACAGGACGUCUCCCAUUUUAGAGCCGCCAUGUCUUUUCUUGUGAAAUGUCAAUAAAGGAUAAUACCAGAGCCAGCGUGGCCACUGGGUCACCCUGGGCAGGUGGCACUAAACCACAGCCAGAUGCUGCUGACACUGCCUGGCCCAAGUGGGGAGCUGCGCCAGCUGCCUCUCUUAAGCCCCUGGAUUGCCUGCGGGCAGGCUGCCUUUUUCUCUGCCCCUCCUUUUGAAACACUGCCUGGGGAAGGACUCCACCAGCAGCAGCGGCUCAAGGGAUCUAUGUCCAUUUUCCAACAGCGUGCUCAGUGAUGCCAGGAAUUCAAGACAUUGCUGAGCCUGACAGCAACCACACCUACCAUGAAUUUUACUGCUGGGUAAGUAGCAUCAGCAUCAGCCCCAGGGAUAUAUUUAGAAAAGCCUUCACCUUAAUGAGCUAACAGUUGAGAACAACUUCUGCUGCUGAGUCCCAAGCAAGCCUAGGUUAAGAAGUCACCCAGGUAAUUUGGUGGAAGGGAAAAGAAUAAGAAUUGUUUGUGUGUGAUUUUUGAUGGCUUGACUAGGCAGCUUUGUACGUAGAUUGAAUGUUGAUCUUCUGGUUUUCUGAGAUUUAUACGUAUAUGUCACCUAUGUUGCACACUGUUCUGUAAACAAAAAAUUUAUACUAGUCUCUUUUGACGCAUUAAAUGCACCUUUUUGCUAGAUCUCAUAGGAUUUGGAGUGAGGACUAUAGUUGUCCACUAGUUCAUUCUUGCUGUGUAAAUAUCUAGAACAACAUUUUAAUUAAAGCUGUUGCUUAUUGCUCCUUUGGCUUCGUUUCUCUCUCUCCCCCCUCUGCCGUUCAUCUAUAUUCAUAUUAGUAUCAGUAUUUGAAAAAUUUCAGGAAUUUAGAAUUUUAUGUGCUCCCAUGCUUUUCCUAUGCUUCUAAAAAUCACCUAGAAGAAUUACUUUCUGUGUCUUUUCUGGUAAUUACCACUUUAAAAUUUGAUCUUUGGAAGCUGCUUUAGUAAAUACAUCUCUUAUUAAAACUAAACUACCUCCCUUUUCAGAGUAAAUUAAAAAAAAUACAGGUAACUGAAAAGUAUAUAAUGAUUCUAAAAACUUGUAAGCAUAUAAUUUUUUUACAUGAAGAUAUUUUAGCUGUGCUUACAAAGACUAAUAUUAUUUUAAAUUCUACUCAGUUCACCUAUCUGCUAAUGGAAAGAGCUGCAGUUUAUGUUCCAAAAAGCUCUAAACUCAGUUCAGUUCUCUGUAUCUUUAACAAGAUUAAAUUAUUUGAUUUUUGAUGGUUUUGCUGCAGAUGGGGUGUUAUCUAUUUCAGUUAAGACCAUCACUAAAACUUCUGACUUCAGUGUGGGCAAACACAAGGACUCAGAAUGUGUCCCAGUAUUUCAGAGGUUUCUAACCAUAGUGUGGACAACUAUCACAGAGCAAUUUCCCUCUUUCUCCUCUGAAUAGGUAAUGCGAUGUGGAAGUCCCUUGAUGCAUAUUGCUCCAGAGCGUUUUGCACAUUUUUAAACAGGCUUUGGAGGAGUCCUAACAAACUAUUUCUGGCUAAUGUCCAGUGCAGCUAACUGCUAUACCAUGUCCUUGAAAACAAAGGAAUACAGUAAAGCUGAAGGUAUUCCUCUGGAGAGGACACACACGUUACUCCUCUGCUUCAGGAAUUUAUGUCCAGCAGAUAGAUGUCAUUCCUCAGAUUAGACAUGCUACAUGUAGCCAAACAUUUUUAGGGCAGGAAGCCACAAAUAUGCCCAUGGUCUUGUCAAAGGCUCUACCUACAGCAGUGUACUUGUUUAGACAUGGAGUGAAUGCAAUUGGAAGCAACUCUCCCACUUGUUUGUCCUUGCUGUGCUUUGGUUCACCAUGUGGAACAGUCUUGAAACACAUCCUCUGGUUUCCUCCCAGCUGAAACAAAGCUGGAGGACAUUCUGCAGAAACACAGCUAACAGGUAUUCAGUCUAAGGACUAGACUACAGCAUCUCUCUAAAAUAAACCUCCCUAAAAUGCAUACAAUCUAGACAGUGGGUCCUCACCACCUACUGUUCUGCUCUCCAAAUUAUUCCUGCUGUGCCAGACUAUGUGCCGAUGUGACCAAUCAGUCUGUAUAAGCAAUGUUAAAUACUACCCAUGAAAACAGCCCAAGAUAAUAUUAAUUCCUUUAAUGCAAUCUUUUUAACCUUGGGAGGGAAAAACUUAUUGAACCUGUAAACAACUAGAAUCCAUGAUAUUAUAAAGUUGCUAACAGUUUUUCUUGUGACCUUUUUAUAAAUGCAUGCUUUCUGUAAUUAAAAAAUUAUCUAGAAUGUGAUUAUUAAAACUAUAGGACAGAAUUAUCAUAUUACUGCUGCUAUUAAUGGGCUAUUCAUCCAGCUGUUCUCUCUUGAGAAAACCUGUUCAGACUGUUUUUCCCUUGAAAUAAAAUGGCUGCAUCCAGUACUAUCUGUUUUGCUUGGACCAGAGAUCUCCUAUUACCCCAGAAAACUACCAUGUACUGGAGGAGCAGAAAUCAUCAGUUCCUUCACAGUCUUGAAGGUUGUAACA
Non-coding RNA from Phalacrocorax carbo (great cormorant), 6952 nucleotides. The record is from RefSeq and is a predicted model, not a curated record. NCBI's taxonomy places the organism in Eukaryota, Metazoa, Chordata, Aves, Suliformes, Phalacrocoracidae.